Molecule: long non-coding RNA, 815 nt
Organism: Amphimedon queenslandica
Lineage: Eukaryota; Metazoa; Porifera; Demospongiae; Haplosclerida; Niphatidae
Exons: 3
Source: RefSeq, a predicted model, not a curated record
CGAUGUGACCACACCCUCGUAGGUUCGUAUUAUUUUGGUUCAUCCUACUGUCCUUUCUAGGACAUGAUUAAGAAGUUAUAGCAGGGCUAGCUUUGAGAAGGCAGGUGGGGCUAGUCUGGCUUGCCAGACCUGGGGCAUUUGUCGAAUUCUUUUUUUGCAAAGUCUCAUGAGCUGAGAGAAGAGAGAAUUCUGGCAUACAUGUUGACUUCUGCUUGUUCUCCUGGAAUGUGGAAGUCAUGUGGACGUGCAAUGGAAGCCAUGUGAACAACGGUUAUGUCCAGUUACACAUGAUACAACGUAACUGAGUAAGAUGGAAUGCCUACAUUGGCUGUGCUAAACUGUGGUAACUGCCUAGUCUCUUUUAUUAACUAUAAUAUAAUUAACUAUAAUAACCACACAUCCUCCAUAUAAAUAAUCCUGCAAUCAUCUAAUUCUUCAGUUGUAGUCUUCACUCGUUCGUUCUCUCAAGUUCUCUUCAGUUCUUCUACAAUUUGUACAUUGGAUAGUACUUCAGUUCCAUUGGAUAGUACUUCAGUUCCAUUGGUAGCGUGAGCUACAUUGUUCAUUCAUUUCUUAUUGUUUGAUUCUAUAUUGCUUGAUUCUAUAUUAUAUGCUUCUUUGUAUAGUUAUCAGUUGUGAAUUUCUUAUUCUCUUUCUUCCUUUAUUCCUACAGUGUGUGUUAUCCUUCUUUGUUCAUUCCUACUCUUCUUUAUUUUUAUUGUGUAUGUCCUUCUGUCUGUCUCUGUUUUCUUAUUGUUUGUAACUGUUUUUAUUUUAUUGGUUUUGAGACUAGGCAAAUAUACAACAUAAACUUA